CAGCCGCCGCGGGAAUACGUAGGUGGCAAGCGUUGUCCGGGAUUAUUGGGCGUAAAGGGCUCGCAGGCGGUUUCUUAAGUCUGAUGUGAAAGCCCCCGGCUCAACCGGGGAGGGUCAUUGGAAACUGGGAAACUUGAGUGCAGAAGAGGAGAGUGGAAUUCCACGUGUAGCGGUGAAAUGCGUAGAGAUGUGGAGGAACACCAGUGGCGAAGGCGACUCUCUGGUCUGUAACUGACGCUGAGGAGCGAAAGCGUGGGGAGCGAACAGGAUUAGAUACCCCGGUAGUCCCUGUCUCUUAUAC
RNAcentral lists this ribosomal RNA (301 nucleotides) under uncultured bacterium. Its description in RNAcentral is "partial 16S ribosomal RNA". It matches the Rfam family "Bacterial small subunit ribosomal RNA", at positions 509 to 807 of the family's 1533-position model. The record is from RNAcentral.